Molecule: ribosomal RNA, 485 nt
Filed under: uncultured bacterium
Lineage: Bacteria
Description: bacterial SSU rRNA
Rfam family: Bacterial small subunit ribosomal RNA
Source: RNAcentral
AUUGAACGCUGGCGGCAUGCCUUACACAUGCAAGUCGAACGGUAACGGGCCUUCGGGUGCCGACGAGUGGCGAACGGGUGAGUAAUGUAUCGGAACGUACCUUUCAGUGGGGGAUAACGUAGCGAAAGUUACGCUAAUACCGCAUAUUCUGUGAGCAGGAAAGCAGGGGAUCGCAAGACCUUGCGCUGAUUGAGCGGCCGAUAUCAGAUUAGCUAGUUGGUGAGGUAAAGGCUCACCAAGGCGACGAUCUGUAGCGGGUCUGAGAGGAUGAUCCGCCACACUGGAACUGAGACACGGUCCAGACUCCUACGGGAGGCAGCAGUGGGGAAUUUUGGACAAUGGGGCAACCCUGAUCCAGCCAUGCCGCGUGAGUGAAGAAGGCCUUCGGGUUGUAAACCUCUGUCACCCGGGACGAAGACACUGACGGUACCGGGGAGGAAGUCACGGCUAACACGUGCCAGCAGCCGCGGUAAUCGUAGUCUACG